Molecule: long non-coding RNA, 3246 nt
Filed under: Homo sapiens (human)
Lineage: Eukaryota; Metazoa; Chordata; Mammalia; Primates; Hominidae
Description: novel transcript
Source: RNAcentral
CUUUCUGGCUCUUGGAACGCUCGGCUCUGAGAGGCUCCAGGUUUCUCCGCCAGAGCUCCUGUCGCUCUGUCAGUUGCGCUGUGUUCCUCUCUAGUCACAAGAGCCUUGGGGAAGACAGUUGGAAGCUCAGACAUGAGAAAUAUGAUUCCACAGGACAAUGAAAACCCACCCCAACAGGGUGAAGCAAAUCAAAAUGAUUUCGCUCUUGUUGCCCAGGCUGGAGUACAGUGGCUCGAUCUCGGCCCACAGCUGCCUCUGCUUCCUGGGUUCAAGCAAUUCUUCUGCCUCAGCCUCCUGAGUAGCUGUGGUUACAGUUGGAGUCUUGCUCUGUCACCCAGGCUGGAGUGCAGUGGCGCAAUCUCAGCUUACGGCAAGCUCCGCCUCCCGGGUUCAUGCCAUUCUCCUGCCUCAGCCUCCCGAGUAGCUAGGACUACAGGCGCCCGCCACCACACCCGGCUAAUUUUUGUAUUUUUAGUAGAGACAAGGUUUCACCGUGUUAGCCAGGAUGGUCUCGAUCUCUUGACCUCGUGAUCUGCCCACCUCGGUCUCCCAAAGUGCUGGGAUGACAGGCGUGAGCCACCAUGUCCAGCUGUAACUUAGAACUAUUUAAAGAGGCAAAGGCAUAGGAGAAUAAAGGAAGGAAGAAGUAACUCGUGGAAUGUUGCGAAAGGAAAAACACGUUUAAGGAAGAGGAACAGGCUAUGACUUAAUGUUUGCUUGGACCAGUAUAAGCAUGCCAGGGCAAGUAUUUAGGCUAACUUGUGGGAGUUAAGAAUAUAAAGUUGCCAAGACCAGCUUGGCUGGGGAGACGCUAACCCAGCAGCGCUAGAGGAAUUAAAGACACCACACACACCAAAAUAUAGAGGUGUGAAGGGGGAAAUCAGGGGUCUCACAGCCUUCAGAGCUGAGAGUCUUGAACAGAGAUUUAUCCACAUAUUUAUUAACAGCAAACCAGUCAUUAGCAUUGUUUCUAUAGAUAUUAAAUUAACUAAAAGUAUCCCUUAUGGGAAACAAAGGGAUGAGCCGAAUUAAAGGAAUAGGUUGGGCUAGUUAACUGCAGCAGGAGCAUGUCCUUAAGGCACAGAUAGCUCAUGCUACUAUUUGUGGCUUAAGAAUGCUUUUAAGCGGUUUUCCGCCCUGGGCGGGCCAGGUGUUCCUUGCCCUCAUUCUGGUAAACUCACAACCUUCCAGUGUGGGUGUUAGGGCCAUUAUGAACAUGUUACAGUGCUGCAGAGAUUUUGUUUAUGGCCAGUUUUGGGGCCAGUUUAUGGCCAGAUUUUGGGGGGCCUGCUCCCAACAUGUCCCCUUUCUUUGAUUUGCAAAUCAAUAAAAGCAAGGGCAGCUUUGUCACAGUGAGCUACUUCUCGCAGGAGUCAGGAUCCACGUCUGCAGACUAUACAAGGACAACACAGAUUAAAAGCACAGUCAUCAUUGAAAUCACAGAACUUCCAAGUGUUUUUAUCCAUUUUCAGCUCCUUUUAAGCACUCCAGUUCUGGCAUUAAGGUCAGCUGUGCCUGGGAUGCUUUAAAUAUUUGUUCUUUUAAUUUUAAAUCCUUAUAUUAAGCUCCUACAAUGCACCAUAUCAUUUGAGGUUGAGGUGCCACUAUACCGCCAUGGUUCCAGAUAAUAGGAACUUUUGCCAUACUUCUUAUCAUUUCUGCCAUCUGACCGUUUUGUUCAGAUCAGCUGAACAUAGUGUGGCCGUGGCAUGUAGACUGAGAGGUGCAGUUUAAGCUAAACAUCCCCUUAGGGGACCAAUUAAUAAUGAUUCCAUAGAAAUUGUUGUGCAGCACCUCUGCCUGUUCCGCAAUGCAAUCUUCCUAAACAAGUACGUUCAUUUUUUCUAACUGGGUCCGAUCCUGUUUACAAAUAGGUUUUUGAGGGCGGUAUGCCUCAAUUAUAGGAGCAGAUUUAUUACGGUAAAUACUGAGAUUAGAAAGCAUGUGUAACUGUGUCAUAGAGUGAUUGCAUCCAGGCAUUAUUACCAGUCAAGAUUGAUAAAUAUGCCCAGUAAGUAUAAUCAUUCUCUGUGUCAGCCCUUAUUGAAGGAAUACUCAAGGUAGUGGUGAUAACUGCUGUCAUAGCUACCAUUAAAUUAUUCAUUGUGACUGGUUGUCCCGCUUUCCUCAGGUUUUCUUCCGCCAUCUGUGACAGCUUCUUGAUCUGUCCCCAGGUGGGUGGCUGUGUUCGAUGGGUGUUGCUCGUGACAGUUGGGGUCCUCCUCAGCGUCAGUCUCUACAUGGCUGCAACCGGGGAGUCCUUGGGAUCCUCUCAGAGUCUCUUCCUCAGCAUCUGGCUCAUGAUAAGGUUUCAGGUGUCUUGAUAGUACCCAAAUCGGCUAUUGAUUUUGGUCUAGAGAAACACAAGCAUAAUCUCUACUCCAAGUUAUUAUUUUACCUAUUUCCCAACUUUUUGUUACUGAAUAUCUCCACCAAAUCAGUUGUUCUGCUUCUUUCUUUGCAGCUGGUUUCUGUAGAUGCUGUUCAGUUGCUGAUAACAUCUGGCCUUUGGGCAGGUUCAAAACAUUUAAUGUUAAUAAUGCUACGUUCAGUUGUAUCUGUGGGGUUCCAUAUUCUCUAUUUCCCCCUUUCUGCUUUUGCAACUGCUGUUUUAGGGAAAGAUUCAUUCUUUCCACUAUGGCUUGUCCUUGAAUUGUAUGGGAUAUCAGUAAUGUGUUUAAUAUUCCACAUAGAGAAAAAUGUAGCUAGAGCUUGGCUAGUAUAGCCUGGGGCAUUAUCUGUUUUAAUAGAAGCUGGAAUGCCCAUCACUGCAAAACACUGCAAAAGAUGACGUUUAACACAAGCAGAAGACUCUCCUGUUGGCAUGUAGCCCAGACAAAGUGAGAAAAGGUGUCCACACAUACAUGUGGGCACCAAACGAGGGAAUAUGUGUGACAUCUAUUUGCCAAAGAGAGUUAGGUUCCAAUCCUUGAGGAUUAAAUCCUCCUGUAAAAGAUGAGGAAUGUACCAUUUGGCAAGUUGGCAUCGCUGGAUAAUAGCUUUAGCUUCUUUCCAGGUAAUGCUGUAUCUGUGUUUGAGGCCAGAGGCAUUAACAUGGGUUAAAUUGUGAAAGUGUCUAGCAUUAGAUAUUGCAUUAGCAACUAGGCGAUCAGCCAUUUGAUUCCCUUCAAUCAAAGGUCUUGGAAGAGGUGUAUGAGCCCUAAUGUGAGUGAUGUAAAAAGGGUGCAUUCUACUUCUAACUGCUGUUUGCAACUGGGUAAAUAAAGUAAUCAGUUGUUCAUCUGU